AAGAACUCCCUACAUCAUUUGAAAAUCUUGUCUCUGUAGAGACAAUAAAUUUAGGAUAUUGUGAAAACCUCACAAGGCUUCCAUCGAGCAUUCAUAAGUUGAAAAAUCUCAAGGCUCUCUAUCUUUACAACUGCUCGAAUCUUGCCAUGUUUCCGAAGAACUUGGAGGAUCCAAUUGAUCCUGAUGGCGAUUUGGGAUUCCCAAGUCUAAGUUGGCUAGACCUUUGUGACUGCAAUUUAUUAGAAGUAGAGUUCCUUGAGAGUGCUUCCAGUUGUCCUGCAUUGACGCACCUAGAUCUUUCAAAUAAUAAGUUUACUCAUCUGCCGACAUGCAUCAACAAGUAUGAUUAUUGGAAAGACUUGUUUGUUUAUAGCUGCAAGGAAAGCAAAGGGGUCAGUGUGGCUGAUGUUUCACCACUCAAGGUAGUUGAGAUUCUUGUAAAUGGAAGAGAGAUGCUUGAAUGGAUUCUCCAGUUUAAAGAGGACUCCAUAUCUUUUAUGAUUCCCCCAGACCUACGUGGCAACUUCUUAGGAUUAGCACUUUGUGUUAUUCUUGGCUAGAAUAAAAAACGCACGUUCGAAAAUCUUUUUGAGGUCAGAAUAUUUGUUAAUGGCAAAAGAGAAUAUUUCCGUUUGACAUUUAUUUCUCCAUUGGAAUCCGAUCAUGUGAAGCUUGUUUAUAUCCCAAGCGACAAUAAGCGAGGAGAAGAGAAGCUUCUGCAAAACAAUUGGAGCCAUAUCCAAGUUUGCUUCGGCGCACCAGAAGGAAGCAUAAAGAAGCGUGGAUUCCGUCUAAUAUGCGAGCAACGGGAGGAUGAUCUGAGGGUCUGUUUUCCAACACCAUCAGCCGGUGGAAACAAAUUGGAGUUUCAAGGAAAGAUACUCGAAGACAAUUCUCAAUCAGUGAAGAAGAUAAUCCAGUGGGACUGAACUCAACAAGAAGAUGAGAUGGUCUUAGCGAUGGCGAGAGUAUGGGUUCAACUCGCACCACUUUUUGAGGUAGCGAUUCUUGGGGAUGCGAACUGGUUGAUCUUGAUUCCAAUGCCUCUUGCUUUUCCCCGUUUUGUCUUGUCUCUACUAGAAAUUUCCAAAUGUCUGCACCUUCAAUUAAAAUUCGCAUAAUGCUACUGACUUGGUUGAGGAACCUUCUAUUUC
Molecule: long non-coding RNA, 1154 nt
Organism: Eucalyptus grandis
Lineage: Eukaryota; Viridiplantae; Streptophyta; Magnoliopsida; Myrtales; Myrtaceae
Exons: 2
Source: RefSeq, a predicted model, not a curated record